AAAAAAGUGAAAAAAAAAAGAAAAAAAAGAGAAGAAACGUCUUUUCUAUUAUUUACAGGUACAUCUUUUAUUCUGGUUGAUCUGGCUUGACUACUUCGACGAACGAAAGGGAAGUUCUUGCUUUUAUUUAUUGUUGGUUUAUAUUACUGUUUCAUUUUGAAAUUGCAUCAAUUAAAUUUUUGCCUAAACUCACGUAAUUGGAUCCAUUGACCUCGUUAAAUCUCACUUUAACCUGCUUAUUUUACGUGAUUAGGUUUUGACUAGUAUUUGACCAUUGCUUUAUUAUUUUACAUAUACCAGCAAUACUAGCUUAUUGUAUAUAAUUUUAGUCCCAAAAUUUAAAUUUAAAAAAAAAUCUCAAAUUUUCAUUUUCCAUUACUUGCACUUUUUGUUCAUUGAUCUCUCUAUUGCAUGUCAUUAAGUUGCUAUUACAGUGCAUGCAGUUAUAUAUUGGUCAUCUUGUCACUUCUAGCUCUAGUACCUUAAACAUGAACCCCUCACAAUUCGAUACACUCAUCCGACAAAUAGCGGCUAUUCAAACUCAAAUGACCACUACUCUUGAAGAGAGUAAGACCCUAUCUGCUAGUUUGAAAAAUUUUAAACACAUCCCUCAUUCGAUUGAUGUUGAUAAUUCUAAGGUGUCCCAUAAUAGACAACAUCGUCGACAAGGUAAUCAAAAAUACUUUCGACCCGAUCGUAAGGAUAGGGAUAGGAAUAGGGAUCAAAUUCGUGAGCGAGAACGAGAUAAUUUUGAAAUUCUUACUCAAUGGAAUGCCCUUAAACAAGGAAAUCAAUUAGUGACUGAGUAUAUCGCGCAAUUUGAGGAAUUUCGAACCAAAUGUCAUUUAAUUGAGAAUGAGAGCACGACUUUGAGUAGGUUUAGCCAAGGUCUGAGAGAUGAUCUUAAGCGCGAGCUUUUCUUUCGAGGCGUCACUACUCUUAAUCACGCUUACUCUUUAGCUCGAGAUUAUGAGUUGAUUAUUAGUACUCCAUAUGAAAAGCGUGGUCAUCGUCGUUCACCCAUCUCAUUAGCGUCGCCUCAUCAUAAGUCUAUCAUAAAACCUUCUUCCCUUCUCUCUGUUUCUCCUCCCCGUUCCUUCUUCUUUCUUUCUUAUUCAUCCUACAUCAAAUUUGGUAUCAGAGCCGAACCAUGGGUAAUUUCUUUUCUUUAAUCCAAAAUUUAUUCAUAUUUCUUUCCCAAAAUCUGUUGGAACAGCACGAACUAAAAGAAUAUUUGGUACAGGCAGCAGCUUUUUUCUUCUUCUUCAAUUUUCAGUCUUAGGUGAAAAAAAAAAAAAAGGAAAAAAAAGUCACUGUUCACACCCGGAAUUUCAGUUUUUUUUAUAGAUUUUUCAGCAGUUUCACAAAAAAAAAAAUCGUUUUUGUUCACGGGUACUGUUCACACCCGAAAUUUAUUUCACACUCGAAAUUUCUUUUUUUUUUUUAAUUUAUUUAUUUAUCGUUUUCUGCAGUUCCAAAAAAAAAGUGAAAAAAAAAAAGAAAAAAAAUAGGAAAAAAAAAAGAGAGAAGAAACGUCUUUUCUAUUAUUUACAGGUACAUCUUUUAUUCUGGUUGAUCUGGCUUGACUACUUCGACGAACGAAAGGGAAGUUCUUGCUUUUAUUUAUUGUUGGUUUAUAUUACUGUUUCAUUUUGAAAUUGCAUCAAUUAAAUUUUUGCCUAAACUCACGUAAUUGGAUCCAUUGACCUCGUUAAAUCUCACUUUAACCUGCUUAUUUUACGUGAUUAGGUUUUGACUAGUAUUUGACCAUUGCUUUAUUAUUUUACAUAUACCAGCAAUACUAGCUUAUUGUAUAUAAUUUUAGUCCCAAAAUUUAAAUUU
RNAcentral lists this long non-coding RNA (1842 nucleotides) under Olea europaea (common olive). Its description in RNAcentral is "long non-coding RNA (OEUR_LNC003383)". The record is from RNAcentral. Lineage: Eukaryota; Viridiplantae; Streptophyta; Magnoliopsida; Lamiales; Oleaceae.